This 468-nucleotide ribosomal RNA is filed under the name uncultured bacterium. RNAcentral describes it as "partial 16S ribosomal RNA". It matches the Rfam family "Bacterial small subunit ribosomal RNA", at positions 28 to 507 of the family's 1533-position model. The record is from RNAcentral.
GACGAACGCUGGCGGCGUGCUUAACACAUGCAAGUCGAACGGAAAGGCCCUGCUUUUGUGGGGUGCUCGAGUGGCGAACGGGUGAGUAACACGUGAGUAACCUGCCCUUGACUUUGGGAUAACUUCAGGAAACUGGGGCUAAUACCGGAUAGGAGCUCCUGCUGCAUGGUGGUGGUUGGAAAGUUUCGGCGGUUGGGGAUGGACUCGCGGCUUAUCAGCUGGUUGGUGGGGUAGUGGCUUACCAAGGCUUUGACGGGUAGCCGGCCUGAGAGGGUGGCCGGCGACAAUGGGACUGAGAGACGGCCCAGAAUCCAACGGGAGGCAGCAGUGGGGAAUAUUGCACAAUGGGCGGAAGCCUGAUGCAGAAACGCCGCGUGCGGGAUGACGGCCUUCGGGUUGUAAACCGCUGUCGCCUGUGACGAAGCGUGAGUGACGGUAAUGGGUAAAGAAGCACCGGCUAACUACGUG